This 357-nucleotide unclassified non-coding RNA is filed under the name uncultured fungus. Its description in RNAcentral is "sequence contains ITS1". The stretch from base 1 to 100 matches the Rfam family "5.8S ribosomal RNA", at positions 50 to 154 of the family's 154-position model. Lineage: Eukaryota; Fungi. The record is from RNAcentral.
UAGACGCGAAAAGUGUCCUGACAUGCCGACUUUGUGAAUGACCAAUUUUUGAACGCACCUUGCACCUAUCCAUGGGAUGGGUGUGCUUGUGUGAGUGUGGGACAUGAAUUUGCGCAUGUAUUGCCAGAGAUGAGGCGUGCGAAAAGAGCUGCCUUGAAAGACAUGGCGAGCACGUGAUGAGCGCCCUGGGAUACAUCUACAGGCCGCGAGUGACGUGUUCGGUAACGAGAGGUGUGUGAGUGAGACGUUUAAAGGGAGAGAUAAUAUUGAUAAUAUUCUCACCCUUUACGCUUUCACCCACCACACCCCCUACUACAUACCCACCUCACAUCAAGCAAGACCACCCGCUGAACUUAA